AGCUUAUAUAUACCAUGGAGAUAGCUCGAGCAUUAAGGUGAAACAGAUUCAGAGAGCCAAAGUGGUUUAGAAAUAUUAAAGAGAAAUGUGAUACUCUGGCUAAAACCAACGCCGGCAGACUCAGACCAACAUAAUGAAAAUCACAGACAGGAAAGUGAGAUCGUCAGCAGUGAUGACGUAUGAUCCUGCUGGUGAGCUGAAAGGGAACUGCACAACGGGACAGCAGUCUAGAACAAGCCGGAAAGGAAGGACACUAGUUAUGGAUGAGGCCCUUCUUUCUUCACGAAUCUGGUGUUUUAACUUUUUUAUUCAAUGAAAUGACUUCAGUACCAAAUGUAUACUGGCUUCAAAGAAGGAGUUAAGACACAGGUUCUCCAUCCUCUGGAAGAUUUGAGUAAGACUGAAAUCACAUCUUGUACUUGAAAUUUUGGAAAACUCUCUUAUAAAACCCUGUUGCCCUGGUAUUUUCUUUGUUAUGCUAUUUUAAAUGUAUACACU
Molecule: long non-coding RNA, 498 nt
Organism: Equus quagga
Lineage: Eukaryota; Metazoa; Chordata; Mammalia; Perissodactyla; Equidae
Exons: 3
Source: RefSeq, a predicted model, not a curated record